Molecule: long non-coding RNA, 518 nt
Organism: Humulus lupulus (European hop)
Lineage: Eukaryota; Viridiplantae; Streptophyta; Magnoliopsida; Rosales; Cannabaceae
Exons: 3
Source: RefSeq, a predicted model, not a curated record
UCUUUUUUCUUCCUGCUGGCCCUCUAUAUUCUCCCUAACCCUAGCUAAUUUUUUUUGGUAAAGAUUGAACCUUUAACACCACCACUUCUCUCGGAUGCAGCCUCCAUCUUCAAGCCUCAAUGAUUGGAUAGACCCAACACUUUAUCCUUGUCUCAUUACAUUUCUCUCUGGUUAGACACAUUAUAAGCUAUUUUAUAUUAGAAAAUCCUAAGUACACAUUAUAUUGGCCUUCUUUGGAACAUAUUGCUAAUCGAUUUUGGCUCCACAUGCCUCUGAGCAUUCCCAAGCCUUAGAACUGUUCUACUAAGAUUUGGAGAAAUGGUCUUGCUUCUCUCUGUUUGGUCAGAAAGUAAGCAACAAGGUCAAUAGGUCAUCUUUGGAUCAUGUUGAUUUGUAGUUGAAGCUUCCAGUUAAGGCUAUUAAGGUAACCCAAUUUUUUUUUUCUAGUCUCACGCAAUAUCUUUAUAUAUUUUAUUUUUUUCUUACAAAUGCAGACAAUUUAUUUGGUACAAUUUGUC